RNAcentral lists this long non-coding RNA (3064 nucleotides) under Helianthus annuus (common sunflower). RNAcentral describes it as "hypothetical non coding rna". The record is from RNAcentral. Lineage: Eukaryota; Viridiplantae; Streptophyta; Magnoliopsida; Asterales; Asteraceae.
UCUUCCCUGCAGAUCAAAGAAAAAUUCAAAAACCCUACACGCUCUCCCACCCUUCUUUCCCUUUCCUCUGCCACUUCAUCUUCGUUCCCUCUGUAUCAUCUCUUCUCCAUCUUUUCUUUCCCAUUUUGAGCUAGGGUUCAAAAAAACCCAAAAACAGCCCUUCUUUAUCUCAGUUUCUCUCUGAAAUACAUACCCCAUCUUUGCUUACUGCAAUUGUUAAAGUUUUUGUUUCAAAAUUCAAAUGGAUUUCAAACACCGCCUCUAAAUUCCCCCUUCAUUCAAAUGCCAAAAACCCUAAUCAGUUUCAAAAUACUGACAACCCUCUUUCUCGCUCUCGAAUGGCUUCUGGUUGUCAGUAUUGUUAGUGUCUAGGGUUAGCGAAUCGACUUUCCGGCAAAGUUGGCUAGGGUUCAGGCCGAAUUCCGCUCACACAGAUUUGAAGGCACAUAGACAACUCAAUUUGUCUACUUGAUUUUGAAGGUAGUUUUAAUCUAUUUGGAUGUUAUUUGAUAACUCACUAAUUCAAUUAUCGUAUAUUUCAUUAGAGGUUUGUUCUAUACUUGCAUAAUCUAGAUAAAUGUAUUUGUUUCCCCAGGUUCUUGGUUUUGGGGAUUCUGUAGAAGAAGUUUAUGUUGCAUACAAACAACACAAAGUUGAAAUUAUAGUACCCGGUUAUUUUUUUCUAUUUAUUAUAUGUUGCAAUGCUUACUUUAACUGCUGAAAAGAUUAACCAGGACACUGUUAAAGGUGGAAAGUGCACCAGUGGUGCUAAGAUGACUGAAGAAGAAGUAGCAUUAGCCGAGCUUCAAGGAUGUUUGCAGAAGCAUGUACUAGAAUAAACGAUGUCUUGAAACGCUUUUAAGUUCUUUCGUCGCUAUCCUCCGAUCAACUUGGUUAACGAUUUCGACUCGUGUGAGAUUAAUCUACACGUUUUAAGGCUUUGAGAUUAAUCAUUCAUAUACUCGGAUAUGCUGCUUUGUAACAAAACUCAAAAGAACCCCGAAUUGGAUUUUAAUCUUUUUCUACAAAUUAGUGGUGACGACCGGCCAUUUCCAUCUCAAUUCGUUUGAUGAAGGAGAAGAAGUUAACCCCUUUGCUGUAAGUUUUUUGUUUUUUUUUUUCGAAAUAACUUUGCUUGGUUAUUAUGUUAGCAAAUGUCUUGCUGCCAUUGUUGUUAGUACCCUCUUGUGCACCUUUUUUUUCCUUUUUCUUGCUUCAUUAAAAAUUCAAUUGAUUAUUUAAGAUUUAAUUUUUUGUGUAGAACUACGUUACCAUAUUUUGACUACUUUGUGUAUUAAAGCCUAUCAUGGCUGCACUUAUAAUUAUAUAAACUACUCAUGAGAUAUUAUAUAUGUAAACAUAUAUUUCUUUUUCUAAUUUUGUGCGCUUGGGGACACGAAAGCAUGACAAGACUUUUACAAUAGUUGUAACACGACACUUAUUUGAGCACGGAGGCAAAGGCGUGAAUUUAAGUUACUUAUAUUGAGGUAAUUCUUCAAACCUUUGGCAUUUAUUAUUUUUAUUCUUUUUGUUUGCCAAUUAUUAUUUGUUUUUUUAUGGAGGAGCUGUUCUACUUAAUAUUAACACUUAUGCAUUUUAAUUUUAUACUAAGGAUACCCCUAAAAUAAUACAAGGAUACCCCUAACCAACCAAAACUUGUAGAAUAAAGGAGCCCGAUUGAAACAGUGGCCCAAUUGCCCAAAUUAUUAAUAAUAUGAUUGAAAUUGUGGCCUAAUUAGUUACUUAGAAUGUGUAAGAUCCUCCUUUUUAUUUGCUUUUUAAUCUAUAAUCUUUAUAUGAACUCUAAUCGAUUAUUCUUGAAACCUUAACGUCGAUUUAACGAGGGUUUUGAAACACAGCGGCAAUAACACCUGUUGUGUCUAGGGUUUUGAAACACAGCGGCGGCUUUGAAGGUCGGCCGCUGAUGACGUUGAUGAUGGUGGAUUUGUGGUAACGGUGAAGGUUUACAGCUAAUUCGAGGUAAUUAUAUGACGAGCAGUGGAUAUUCAGAGCGAUUGAGGAACGUUUUUGGUUUGAGAUUGGAGAACAGAUGCUUUAAUUAAAUGAUGUGUUGAAAUUUGGAAUCUCCAUCAACAUUCAUCACAAUCUUUGAAGGUAAUCACAUGGUUUCUUAGUUAUUUAGGGGGUGUUUGGGAUUGCGUUUUCAACCUGAUUAUUUGAUUAUUGUGUUUUGAAAUCGCAAAAAAUCUAUUUUGAGUGUUUGGUAAAAAAUUAAUAAAAAGUGAUUUUUUACGUUUUGUAGAGUUCAAAACGUGAUAAUCCAUAAGUAGGUCACCUCUUGCUGCAGGAAAACGUGAUAAUCCAAAAACUGAUUUUUUACGUUUCCAAUUAUUUAUUUUUUUAAAAUAUAUAUACUUGCCAAACACUCAAAUAGUUGAUUAUCUGAUUAUUGUGAUAUCAAACAACAUAAUCAAAUCCAAACAAUGUUGAUUAUCUGAUUAUUGUGAUAUCAAACAACAUAAUCAAAUCCAAACACUAUCUUUCUGCAGCACGUUUUGUUACAGCUAAUUAUCUGAUUCUGAUUAUUCAAAACGCAUAAUCUAUUUUCAAAACUCAACCCCAAACACCCCCUUAGUUGCUUAUUCUAGACCACCGUUUUGAUUGUGAAUCCCAAUGAUACUAAAGAAAUACCAUUUUAAUUUCCAUAUUAGUCAAGCCGUUUAUUAUUUUCUAAUCCUUUUUAGUAUUACUCUUAUUCAACACCCUUAUGAAUGUUUAACUGAUUCUGUAACUAAUGAAAAACAAAUGUGAUAUAGACCUGUGAUUGUUAUAUAUAUGAUGAUUUAUGAUUGUCUGUGAAGGUUCUGGUUAGUGAUUUAGGGUUUGGAAGAUCUAUGAGUAACCAUAAAUUUCAGAAUCUGGUUCAGAAAUUAAAAGAGCAUACCAUAAAGCUGCACUUAGACAUCAUCCGGUCAAAGUUUUUUUUUUUUUUUUUUUUUUUAUAAGAGAUAUAAUGAGAAUCAUUAGAUGAUUAGCUAAUUUAUCCUGUGUUUUUUUUGACUUUGAUGCGCCUCUUAUGUAUCAACAUCUUCAUUUAAUAUAG